CAGAGUUUGAUCCUGGCUCAGAACUAACGCUAGCGGCGUGCCUAACACAUGCAAGUCGUACGAGAAAGUCCCGUUCGCGGGAUGAGUAAAGUGGCGCACGGGUGAGUAACGCGUGGACAAUCUACCCUCUAGUGGGGAAUAACCCCGCGAAAGCGGGGCUAAUACCUCAUAAUACUGAUUGAUCGCGGUCGAUCAGUCAAAGAUGGCCUCUCAUAGAAGCUGUCGCUAAAGGAUGAGUCCGCGUACCAUUAGCUAGUUGGUGGGGUAAUGGCCUACCAAGGCGACGAUGGUUAGCUGGUCUGAGAGGACGGCCAGCCACACUGGAACUGAGACACGGUCCAGACUCCUACGGGAGGCAGCAGUGGGGAAUAUUGCGCAAUGGGGGAAACCCUGACGCAGCGACGCCGCGUGCGGGAAGAAGGCCUUCGGGUCGUAAACCGCUGUCAGGAGGGAAGAAACUGUUAGGGUAUAAUACGCCCUUUCACUGACGGUACCUCCAAAGGAAGCACCGGCUAACUCCGUGCCAGCAGCCGCGGUAAUACGGAGGGUGCGAGCGUUAAUCGGAAUCACUGGGCGUAAAGCGCACGUAGGCGGCGCAUCAAGUCAGGCGUGAAAGCCCUCGGCUCAACCGAGGAAUUGCGCUUGAAACUGGUGUGCUGGAGUCUCGGAGAGGUUGGCGGAAUUCCAGGUGUAGUGGUGAAAUACGUAGAUAUCUGGAAGAACACCAGUGGCGAAGGCGGUCUCUUGGUCCAUAACUGACGCUGAGGCGCGAAAGCGUGGGGAGCAAACAGGAUUAGAUACCCUGGUAGUCCACGCUGUAAACGAUGAAUACUAGGUGUUGGGCCGAAUAGCUCAGUGCCGCAGCUAACGCAUUAAGUAUUCCACCUGGGGAGUACGAUCGCAAGGUUGAAACUCAAAGGAAUUGACGGGGGCCCGCACAAGCAGUGGAGCAUGUGGUUUAAUUCGAUGCAACGCGAAGAACCUUACCUAGGCUUGAAAAGCAGUGGACCGCCCCAGAAACGGGGCUUCUCUUCGGAGCCCUGUGCAGGUGCUGCAUGGCUGACGUCAGCUCGUGCCGUGAGGUGUUGGGUUAAGUCUCGCAACGAGCGCAACCCCUACCAUUAGUUGCCAUCAGGUUAUGCUGGGCACUCUAAUGGGACUGCCUACGCAAGUAGUGAGGAAGGUGGGGAUGACGUCAAGUCAGCAUGGCCCUUACGCCUAGGGCUACACACGUGCUACAAUGGGUACUACAAUGGGUCGCGAAGCCGCGAGGUGGAGCCAAUCCCUUAAAAGUACCCUCAGUUCGGAUUGGAGUCUGCAACUCGACUCCAUGAAGCUGGAAUUGCUAGUAAUCGCUUAUCAGCACGAAGCAGUGAAUACGUUCCCGGGCCUUGUACACACCGCCCGUCAAGCCAUGGAAGCCGGGGGUACCCAAAGUCAGUGACCCAACUUUUCGAAGAGGGAGCUGCCUAAGGUAAAACUGGUGACUGGGGCUAAGUCGUAACAAGGUAACCGUA
This 1517-nucleotide ribosomal RNA is filed under the name bacterium enrichment culture clone E31. Its description in RNAcentral is "partial 16S ribosomal RNA". It matches the Rfam family "Bacterial small subunit ribosomal RNA". The record is from RNAcentral.